This 32-nucleotide transfer RNA is filed under the name Dendrocygna autumnalis (black-bellied whistling-duck). RNAcentral describes it as "partial tRNA-Lys". Lineage: Eukaryota; Metazoa; Chordata; Aves; Anseriformes; Anatidae. The record is from RNAcentral.
CUAGCUACAGAGGGCCCACCCCUCCUUAAUGA